Molecule: long non-coding RNA, 928 nt
Organism: Aphis gossypii (cotton aphid)
Lineage: Eukaryota; Metazoa; Arthropoda; Insecta; Hemiptera; Aphididae
Exons: 2
Source: RefSeq, a predicted model, not a curated record
UUCUUAAUAGUUAUAAAUAGCUCACAAUUACCAUUUUAUUGUUCUAUUCAAAUACAUACAGUAAAAUAUUAUAUUAUAUUAAAAUAUUGAAUUGUUUAUACAGUGUAAAAUAUUAAUUGGUUCCAAAUUUCAGUUCCAAGCAAAUACAUUUUUUACAAUAAAAGUUUCUGAGCUUAUAAUAUUCAGACAAGAAAUUUUCUGAAGUUUUUCGUUCCUACAAAAUUUAAAAUACUAUAUCCCUCCAAAAUAGUGUCUUAUCAUUUAUCAUAUCAGUUUAAUUUGUAAACAGUCACCUCUUAGAUAACGAUUAUCGGCCAUUUUGUUGGAGACAUAAUUUUGUAUGUAUAACGUAUGGCAGUCGGCUAUCUAGUAUUUUUAUAUAUCUGUGGGUGUAAUUAAAAAAAUAUAUUAUUAAUUAUUUUGUUAAGAUAAGACACAAGCAAAAAACAAGACAAUAAGAAAUCAGUAACCAUAGCACAAGCAUUACACAUAAAAUCAAUUGCAGCUCCAAAAAUGAUAGUGCUACCUAGAGAUUUUACAUUCUGAACAAUUGAAACUAUUCAUCACUGAUUUCAAAUUUCAAUUAAUCUUAAGUUCUAUACUUAGAAGAAGCGCAUCAAUAGAGAUGCAAAAGGAACAUGCAGUUGGCUACAGAAAAAACAUUAAAGAGCAAACAACAAAAAGUCAAUAGUAUUGUAAAAAUAUAUUAUGUUCAAUAAAUAUAAUAAAGUAUGUUGUACUUUUUCAGCAUAAGUAUUUGUAGUGUAUGUUACGUUGGUGCCACUGGCACAACCAAUCAAAGUUUUUCAUAUUAUCAGCAGCAGAAAAUGUUGAUAGAUAUUAGUCACUUUUUUUGUACUCUUGUUAUUAUAUUAUGUUUGUUCAUGAAUUGUUAUGUUAAACAAAUAAAGUUUAUUAACAACGUUAA